CGUCUAAGGCAGGGCAGAUGACUGGGGUGAAGUCGUAACAAGGUAGCCGUAGGAGAACCUGCGGCUGGAUCACCUCCUUUCUAAGGAA
RNAcentral lists this ribosomal RNA (88 nucleotides) under Lactobacillus crispatus. Its description in RNAcentral is "partial 16S ribosomal RNA". It matches the Rfam family "Bacterial small subunit ribosomal RNA", at positions 1454 to 1533 of the family's 1533-position model. The record is from RNAcentral. Lineage: Bacteria; Bacillati; Bacillota; Bacilli; Lactobacillales; Lactobacillaceae.